Molecule: long non-coding RNA, 359 nt
Organism: Dermacentor andersoni
Lineage: Eukaryota; Metazoa; Arthropoda; Arachnida; Ixodida; Ixodidae
Source: RefSeq, a predicted model, not a curated record
AUUGGUGACUAAUUCGUGGAUUGUUCGUUUUCAGAUGGCAGCUGUGACAGAAACUCUUUUUGUUAUAGAAAGAAACUACAAGAUCAACACUUCAUUGCGCUGUCUCUCGGCCACAAAAGUUGGCGCUCUAGAUGGGAAAAAAUACGAAUACAGACUAAAAGCACGCAACCCAGAUGGCAACUACUUUAACUACACCGUCGAGAUGAUCGCUAAGAAAACUGGUGGUCACAGAACACGAAAUGCAGUACUAUACCAGGAAGACCCAGAGGAGAAAGAGAUGACUCACAAAAUUGUGACGAUGAAUAACAAACGCACAUGUUUUGUAUUGGUGCGAGACAUCGGGAAAAAAAGGAAGAAUA